GCCGCGUGUAUGAAGAAGGCCUUCGGGUUGUAAAGUACUUUCAGCGGGGAGGAAGGUGUUGAAGUUAAUUACCUCAGUCAUUGACGUAACCCGCAGAAGAAGCACCGGCUAACUCCGUGCCAGCAGCCGCCGGUAAUACGGAGGGUGCAAGCGUUAAUCGGAAUUACUGGGCGUAAAGCGCACGCAGGCGGUCUGUCAAGUCGGAUGUGAAAUCCCCGGGCUCAACCUGGGAACUGCAUUCGAAACUGGCAGGCUAGAGUCUUGUAUAGAGGGGGUAGAAUUCCAGGUGUAUCGGUGAAAUGCGUAUAGAUCUGGAGGAAUACCGGUGGCGAAAGCGGCCCCCUGGACAAAGACUGACGCUCACGUGCGAAAGCGUGUGGAGCAAACAGGAUUAGAUACACUGUUAGUCCACGCCGUAAACGAUGUCUACUUGUAGGUUGUGCCCUUGAGGCGUGUCUUCUGGAGCUAACGCGUUAAGUCUACCGCCUGGGGAGUACGGCCGCAAGGUUAAAACUCAAAUGAGUUGACGGGGGCCCGCACACGCGGUGGAGCAUGUGGUUUUAUUUCUAUGCAACGCGAAGAACCUUACCUACUUCUUGACAUCCACAGAACUUAUCAGAGAUGCUUUUGGUGCCUUCGGGGAACAUCUGAGACAGGUGCUGCAUGGCUGUCGUCAGCUUCGUGUUGUGAAAUGUUGGGUUUAAAUCCCCCCAACGAGCAGCAACCCCUUUAUCCUUU
Molecule: ribosomal RNA, 738 nt
Filed under: Enterobacter sp.
Lineage: Bacteria; Pseudomonadati; Pseudomonadota; Gammaproteobacteria; Enterobacterales; Enterobacteriaceae
Description: bacterial SSU rRNA
Rfam family: Bacterial small subunit ribosomal RNA
Source: RNAcentral